Molecule: ribosomal RNA, 505 nt
Filed under: uncultured bacterium
Lineage: Bacteria
Description: partial 16S ribosomal RNA
Rfam family: Bacterial small subunit ribosomal RNA
Source: RNAcentral
GACGAACGCUGGCGGCGUGCCUAAUACAUGCAAGUAGAACGCACAGUUUAUACCUUAGCUUGCUACACCAUAGACUGUGAGGUGAGAACGGGUGAGUAACGCGUAGGUAACCUGCCUGGUAGCGGGGGAUAACUAUUGGUAACGCUAGCUAAUACCGCAUAAUAUUGAUUAUUGCAUGAUAAUUGAUUGAAAGAUGCUAUUGCAUCACUACCAGAUGGACCUGCGGUGUAUUAGCUUGUAGGUGAGGUAACGGCGCACCUAGGCGACGAGACAGAGCCGAACGGCUAGGGUGCGCAGCCACCCUGAGACUGUGACAGGGCACAGACUCCUUCGGGAGCCAGCCAUAGGGAAUCUUCGGCAAUGAGUGGAAGUCUGACCGAGAUACGCCGCGUGAGGGUAGAAGGUUGUCGCACCGUAAAGCACUGUUGUCGGAGAAGAACGGGUGUGAGAGUGGAAAGUUCACACUGUGACGGUAUCUUACCAGAAAGCGACGGCUAACUACGUG